GACGAACGCUGGCGGCGUGCUUAACACAUGCAAGUCGAACGGAGAGGCCCUGCUUUUGUGGGGUGCUCGAGUGGCGAACGGGUGAGUAACACGUGAGUAACCUGCCCUUGACUUUGGGAUAACUUCAGGAAACUGGGGCUAAUACCGGAUAGGAGCUCCUGCUGCAUGGUGGGGGUUGGAAAGUUUCGGCGGUUGGGGAUGGACUCGCGGCUUAUCAGCUUGUUGGUGGGGUAGUGGCUUACCAAGGCUUUGACGGGUAGCCGGCCUGAGAGGGUGACCGGCCACAUUGGGACUGAGAUACGGCCCGGACUCCUACGGGAGGCAGCAGUGGGGAAUAUUGCACAAUGGGCGGAAGCCUGAUGCAGCAACGCCGCGUGCGGGAUGACGGCCUUCGGGUUGUAAACCGCUUUCGCCUGUGACGAAGCGUGAGUGACGGUAAUGGGUAAAGAAGCACCGGCUAACUACGUG
RNAcentral lists this ribosomal RNA (468 nucleotides) under uncultured bacterium. RNAcentral describes it as "partial 16S ribosomal RNA". It matches the Rfam family "Bacterial small subunit ribosomal RNA", at positions 28 to 507 of the family's 1533-position model. The record is from RNAcentral.